This 253-nucleotide ribosomal RNA is filed under the name uncultured bacterium. RNAcentral describes it as "partial 16S ribosomal RNA". It matches the Rfam family "Bacterial small subunit ribosomal RNA", at positions 524 to 776 of the family's 1533-position model. The record is from RNAcentral.
GACGGAGGGGGCUAGCGUUGUUCGGAAUGACUGGGCGUAAAGGGCGCGUAGGCGGUUUGAUAAGUGAGGCGUGAAAGCCCUGGGCUUAACCCAGGAGGUGCGUUUCAUACUGUCAGACUUGAGUGCGAGAGAGGAAAGCGGAAUUCCUAGUGUAGAGGUGAAAUUCGUAGAUAUUAGGAAGAACACCAGAGGCGAAGGCGGCUUUCUGGCUCGUAACUGACGCUGAGGCGCGAAAGCGUGGGGAGCAAACAGG